Molecule: ribosomal RNA, 409 nt
Filed under: uncultured bacterium
Lineage: Bacteria
Description: bacterial SSU rRNA
Rfam family: Bacterial small subunit ribosomal RNA
Source: RNAcentral
GUGGGGAAUAUUGGGCAAUGGGCGCAAGCCUGACCCAGCAACGCCGCGUGAAGGAAGAAGGCUUUCGGGUUGUAAACUUCUUUUAAGGGGGACGAAGAAAGUGACGGUACCCCUUGAAUAAGCCACGGCUAACUACGUGCCAGCAGCCGCGGUAAUACGUAGGUGGCAAGCGUUAUCCGGAUUUAUUGGGUGUAAAGGGCGUGUAGGCGGGAAUGCAAGUCAGAUGUGAAAACUCAGGGCUCAACCCUGAGCCUGCAUUUGAAACUGUAUUUCUUGAGUGCUGGAGAGGCAAUCGGAAUUCCGUGUGUAGCGGUGAAAUGCGUAGAUAUACGGAGGAACACCAGUGGCGAAGGCGGAUUGCUGGACUGUAACUGACGUUGAGGCUCGAAAGCGUGGGGAGCAAACAGGA